GUCCACGCCGUAAACGAUGGGCACUAGGUGUGGGAGGUGUCGACUCCUUCCGUGCCGUAGCUAACGCACUAAGUGCCCCGCCUGGGGAGUACGGCCGCAAGGCUAAAACUCAAAGGAAUUGACGGGGACCCGCACAAGCAGCGGAGCAUGUGGUUCAAUUCGACGCAACGCGAAGAACCUUACCUGGGCUUGACAUGUUGGUGACAGCCGUGGAAACACGGUCUCCCUUCGGGGCACCUUCACAGGUGGUGCAUGGCUGUCGU
This 263-nucleotide ribosomal RNA is filed under the name uncultured bacterium. Its description in RNAcentral is "partial 16S ribosomal RNA". It matches the Rfam family "Bacterial small subunit ribosomal RNA", at positions 793 to 1055 of the family's 1533-position model. The record is from RNAcentral.